GGUUAAGCGACUAAGCGUACACGGUGGAUGCCCUGGCAGUCAGAGGCGAUGAAGGACGUGCUAAUCUGCGAAAAGCGUCGGUAAGGUGAUAUGAACCGUUAUAACCGGCGAUGUCCGAAUGGGGAAACCCAGUGCAAUUCGUUGCACUAUCGUUAACUGAAUACAUAGGUUAACGAGGCGAACCGGGGGAACUGAAACAUCUAAGUACCCCGAGGAAAAGAAAUCAACCGAGAUUCCCCCAGUAGCGGCGAGCGAACGGGGAGCAGCCCAGAGUCUGAAUCAGCUUGUGUGUUAGUGGAACGGUCUGGAAAGUCCGACGGUACAGGGUGAUAGUCCCGUACACCAAAAUGCACAGGCUGUGAACUCGAAGAGUAGGGCGGGACACGUGGUAUCCUGUCUGAAUAUGGGGGGACCAUCCUCCAAGGCUAAAUACUCCUGACUGACCGAUAGUGAACCAGUACCGUGAGGGAAAGGCGAAAAGAACCCCGGCGAGGGGAGUGAAAAAGAACCUGAAACCGUGUACGUACAAGCAGUGGGAGCACCUUCGUGGUGUGACUGCGUACCUUUUGUAUAAUGGGUCAGCGACUUAUAUUCUGUAGCAAGGUUAACCGUAUAGGGGAGCCGCAGGGAAACCGAGUCUUAACUGGGCGUUAAGUUGCAGGGUAUAGACCCGAAACCCGGUGAUCUAGCCAUGGGCAGGUUGAAGGUUGGGUAACACUAACUGGAGGACCGAACCGACUAAUGUUGAAAAAUUAGCGGAUGACUUGUGGCUGGGGGUGAAAGGCCAAUCAAACCGGGAGAUAGCUGGUUCUCCCCGAAAGCUAUUUAGGUAGCGCCUCGUGAACUCAUCUUCGGGGGUAGAGCACUGUUUCGGCUAGGGGGUCAUCCCGACUUACCAACCCGAUGCAAACUACGAAUACCGAAGAAUGUUAUCACGGGAGACACACGGCGGGUGCUAACGUCCGUCGUGAAGAGGGAAACAACCCAGACCGCCAGCUAAGGUCCCAAAGUCAUGGUUAAGUGGGAAACGAUGUGGGAAGGCACAGACAGCCAGGAUGUUGGCUUAGAAGCAGCCAUCAUUUAAAGAAAGCGUAAUAGCUCACUGGUCGAGUCGGCCUGCGCGGAAGAUGUAACGGGGCUAAACCAUGCACCGAAGCUGCGGCAGCGACACUAUGUGUUGUUGGGUAGGGGAGCGUUCUGUAAGCCUGCGAAGGUGACCUGUGAGGGUUGCUGGAGGUAUCAGAAGUGCGAAUGCUGACAUAAGUAACGAUAAAGCGGGUGAAAAGCCCGCUCGCCGGAAGACCAAGGGUUCCUGUCCAACGUUAAUCGGGGCAGGGUGAGUCGACCCCUAAGGCGAGGCCGAAAGGCGUAGUCGAUGGGAAACAGGUUAAUAUUCCUGUACUUGGUGUUACUGCGAAGGGGGGACGGAGAAGGCUAUGUUAGCCGGGCGACGGUUGUCCCGGUUUAAGCAUGUAGGCUGGUUAUCCAGGCAAAUCCGGAUAAUCAAGGCUGAGGUGUGAUGACGAGGCACUACGGUGCUGAAGUAACAAAUGCCCUGCUUCCAGGAAAAGCCUCUAAGCAUCAGGUAACAUCAAAUCGUACCCCAAACCGACACAGGUGGUCAGGUAGAGAAUACCAAGGCGCUUGAGAGAACUCGGGUGAAGGAACUAGGCAAAAUGGUGCCGUAACUUCGGGAGAAGGCACGCUGGUGUGUAGGUGAAGUCCCUGCGGAUGGAGCUGAGACCAGUCGAAGAUACCAGCUGGCUGCAACUGUUUAUUAAAAACACAGCACUGUGCAAACACGAAAGUGGACGUAUACAGUGUGACGCCUGCCCGGUGCCGGAAGGUUAAUUGAUGGGGUUAUCCGUAAGGAGAAGCUCUUGAUCGAAGCCCCGGUAAACGGCGGCCGUAACUAUAACGGUCCUAAGGUAGCGAAAUUCCUUGUCGGGUAAGUUCCGACCUGCACGAAUGGCGUAAUGAUGGCCAGGCUGUCUCCACCCGAGACUCAGUGAAAUUGAACUCGCUGUGAAGAUGCAGUGUACCCGCGGCAAGACGGAAAGACCCCGUGAACCUUUACUAUAGCUUGACACUGAACAUUGAGCCUUGAUGUGUAGGAUAGGUGGGAGGCUUUGAAGCGUGGACGCCAGUCUGCGUGGAGCCAACCUUGAAAUACCACCCUUUAAUGUUUGAUGUUCUAACGUUGGCCCCUGACCGGGGUUGCGGACAGUGUCUGGUGGGUAGUUUGACUGGGGCGGUCUCCUCCCAAAGCGUAACGGAGGAGCACGAAGGUUAGCUAAUCCUGGUCGGACAUCAGGAGGUUAGUGCAAUGGCAUAAGCUAGCUUGACUGCGAGCGUGACGGCGCGAGCAGGUGCGAAAGCAGGUCAUAGUGAUCCGGUGGUUCUGAAUGGAAGGGCCAUCGCUCAACGGAUAAAAGGUACUCCGGGGAUAACAGGCUGAUACCGCCCAAGAGUUCAUAUCGACGGCGGUGUUUGGCACCUCGAUGUCGGCUCAUCACAUCCUGGGGCUGAAGUAGGUCCCAAGGGUAUGGCUGUUCGCCAUUUAAAGUGGUACGCGAGCUGGGUUUAGAACGUCGUGAGACAGUUCGGUCCCUAUCUGCCGUGGGCGCUGGAGAAUUGAGGGGGGCUGCUCCUAGUACGAGAGGACCGGAGUGGACGCAUCACUGGUGUUCGGGUUGUCAUGCCAAUGGCACUGCCCGGUAGCUAAAUGCGGAAGAGAUAAGUGCUGAAAGCAUCUAAGCACGAAACUUGCCCCGAGAUGAGUUCUCCCUGAGACUUUAAGUCUCCUGAAGGAACGUUAAAGACGAUGACGUUGAUAGGCCGGGUGUGUAAGCGCAGCGAUGCGUUGAGCUAACCGGUACUAAUGAACCGUGAGGCUUAACCUU
This 2903-nucleotide ribosomal RNA is filed under the name Klebsiella quasipneumoniae subsp. similipneumoniae. RNAcentral describes it as "23S ribosomal RNA". It matches the Rfam family "Bacterial large subunit ribosomal RNA". Lineage: Bacteria; Pseudomonadati; Pseudomonadota; Gammaproteobacteria; Enterobacterales; Enterobacteriaceae. RNAcentral also lists the same sequence under 1 other name. The record is from RNAcentral.